RNAcentral lists this ribosomal RNA (253 nucleotides) under uncultured bacterium. RNAcentral's name for it is "partial 16S ribosomal RNA". It matches the Rfam family "Bacterial small subunit ribosomal RNA", at positions 524 to 776 of the family's 1533-position model. The record is from RNAcentral.
UACGGAGGGUGCAAGCGUUAAUCGGAAUUACUGGGCGUAAAGCGCCCGCAGGCGGUUUGCUAAGUCAGAUGUGAAAUCCCCGGGCUCAACCUGGGAACUGCAUCUGAUACUGGCACGCUUGAGUAUAGUAGAGGGGGGUAGAAUUCCAGGUGUAGCGGUGAAAUGCGUAGAUAUCUGGAGGAAUACCGGUGGCGAAGGCGGCCCCCUGGACCAAGACUGACGCUCAGGGGCGAAAGCGUGGGGAGCAAACAGG